GACAGAGGGGGCAAGCGUUGCUCGGAAUUACUGGGCGUAAAGGGCGCGUAGGCGGAAUGGCAAGUCGGUCGUGAAAUCCUUCGGCUCAACCGAAGAACGUCGAUCGAAACUGCCGUUCUUGAGGAUUGCAGAGGAGACUGGAAUUCCCGGUGUAGCGGUGAAAUGUGUAGAGAUCAUGAGGAAGACCAGUGGCGAAGGCGGGUCUCUGGACAGUUCCUGACACUGAGACACGAAGGCCAGGGGAGCAAACGGG
RNAcentral lists this ribosomal RNA (253 nucleotides) under uncultured bacterium. Its description in RNAcentral is "partial 16S ribosomal RNA". It matches the Rfam family "Bacterial small subunit ribosomal RNA", at positions 524 to 776 of the family's 1533-position model. The record is from RNAcentral.